Microcebus murinus (gray mouse lemur) is the source of this 367-nucleotide non-coding RNA. NCBI's taxonomy places the organism in Eukaryota, Metazoa, Chordata, Mammalia, Primates, Cheirogaleidae. The record is from RefSeq and is a predicted model, not a curated record.
AUUUGCACCAGGGCUGGUGGACAUGUCCUUCAUCUAAAGUGGACUUAGAGAGAACUGGGACAAGUAAUCUUCAAUGCAAACCUUCUUCAGUAGCUGACUGAAUCCUGUUAUGUGGUCCCACUUCAUGGGUUAACCCAGGAGGUGGCCUGGCUUCUACAUAGGUGGCCUCUGAGAUUGUACAGUGAUUCUUCUGUGCAGCUCCUCCAUCCUUACAAUUAAAUCACUGGCCUUCAGACAGACUAGGACUUGUACCACUGGCUUCCCUGGUUCUUGGGUCUUUGGGCUUGGACCAGAGCUACUACACCAGCUUUCUUGCACCUCCAUCUUGCAGAAAGAAGACUGUGGGACUUCUUAGCCUUCAUAAUAA